AUUUUUCACACUUGCUGUCUGGUCACCCUACCCCCUGCUCUCUCGUGGUGGACGCAGUCAAUGCAAGAGAGAGACAAGGUCAACAGGGCCCUGCUCCAAAAUCAAAGGACUCCAAAUGCCUGGACCUUUUUGGGAGGAAAAUUUAUUCCACAGGGGGUCUGUCACUCCGAAUCACAACCCACCUUGUGAUUCUUAGUAGAUAUAGUCACAACUCGUGGUUGGCGGUCCUUAAGUUUCAGGAUCAGCUUCCACCUGAGUCCCGCACCGAGCUCGGGGCAAUCACAGAUGCCCCCCGUGUCUUUACCAAAUGCAUGGCGGUAGUAGCAGCGUUCCUCUGCCGCCGCCACAUCCAUGUGUUCCCGUACCUCAACGACUGGCUGAUUCGAGGCCAAUCUCGUCAACAGGUCCAGGCGCACGUGCGAAUGGUCACAGACACACCCAUCUCGGCAUCAUGCUAAAUACCAGCAAGUCCGUACUCAUACCAACCCAGUCAAUAGAAUUCACUGGGGCAGUCCUAGAUGUGAACAAAGCUCGAGCUUUCCUCCCAGAGGCCCGUCGUCUGGCUCUCGUGGACAUAAUCACCAAUCUGUGCAUGUUCCCCACCACUACUGCAAGGCAGUGCCUCAAGCUGCUGGAGCACAUGGCAUACUGCACUUACUUAGUGCAACACGCCAGGCUACACCUUCGACCCCUGCAGGCUUGGCUGGCGUCCACGUACCGACCAGGGCACGACAGUCUGGAUAUGGUCCUCACGGUCCCAUCUCGCACGUUAGAUUCCCUGCAAUGGUGGCUGGAUCCUCAGAUGGUAGGUGCCGGAGUCCCCUUCCAGUCCCCUCAACCUACCCUGACUUUGGUGACGGACGCAUCGGCAUUGGGGUGGGGCGCACACCUCGGAGAUCUGACAGCACAAGGCAUGUGGCAGCAUCACGAGCUCACCCUCCACAUCAACAUCAAGGAGCUCAGGGCAAUUCGCCUGGCGUGCCAAGCGUUCCUGCCCCGCCUACGGGAUCGCUGUGUAGAAGUUCUGACAGACAACACCACGGCCAUGUUUUAUCUGAACAAACAGUGCGGAGCUUGGUCAUCGCAUAGGCGCCGAUUUCGUGGGUGCUCCGGGGCUGGAGCACCCAUGGAGAAAAAUUGGUGGGUGCUCCACACCCACCAGCAACUCCCCGCCCGUCCCGGACCCGCGGCAAACUUACC
Molecule: long non-coding RNA, 1200 nt
Filed under: Chelydra serpentina (North American snapping turtle)
Lineage: Eukaryota; Metazoa; Chordata; Testudines; Chelydridae
Description: lncRNA (ENSCSRG00000016557.1)
Source: RNAcentral